CCCAAGAGAUCGGGAUAACACCUGGAAACAGAUGCUAAUACCGGAUAACAACAGAUGAUGCCUAUCAACUGUUUAAAAGAUGGUUCUGCUAUCACUCUUGGAUGGACCUGCGGUGCAUUAGCUAGUUGGUAGGGUAACGGCCUACCAAGGCGAUGAUGCAUAGUCGAGUUGAGAGACUGAUCGGCCACAUUGGGACUGAGACACGGCCCAAACUCCUACGGGAGGCAGCAGCU
This 233-nucleotide ribosomal RNA is filed under the name uncultured Lactobacillus sp. Its description in RNAcentral is "partial 16S ribosomal RNA". It matches the Rfam family "Bacterial small subunit ribosomal RNA", at positions 129 to 355 of the family's 1533-position model. Lineage: Bacteria; Bacillati; Bacillota; Bacilli; Lactobacillales; Lactobacillaceae. The record is from RNAcentral.